Long non-coding RNA from Zalophus californianus (California sea lion), 670 nucleotides. RefSeq lists it as uncharacterized. The record is from RefSeq and is a predicted model, not a curated record. NCBI's taxonomy places the organism in Eukaryota, Metazoa, Chordata, Mammalia, Carnivora, Otariidae. The transcript is spliced from 3 exons.
GCGGGGAAGAACGGGGUGGAGAGCCCGAGGCCUCGAGAGGGAGGGGACAGUUUACAAAAAAAUGCCCUAUCCGAGUGGGACUGUGGCCCAAGAAAACCCCGCUCGUGGCCGAGCUACCAAAUCGGCCUCCAGUGCACCCAGGAGAGCCUCAAGAAACAGCGAACUGUGACAGAGACUCGUGCACCCGAUUAAUUGAAUAUUAAUCACCUCAGGGACCUAGGCCAACUGCCACCCAGGGAGUGGCAACAGCAGAACCCAAAGCUGCCGUGCCAGACUGGGGGUGGGGAAGGUAGACCACCUGGCCACACCUCCCGCCCAGGUGACAGUUUAACUGCUUCUGCAUCCCACGUCAGACCUCCCCGUGCGACCCGGCAACAACUUGGACGUGGGGGUGGCUUGAGACUGUAAGAAGAAUCACAUUUUAUUCCCAAUGUCCCAGCCUAGGCCUCCGUCCCAAAUUGCGAAGAAGCAUUUGAUAUGAGGCUCUGGGUGGUAUCACAACAAUAAGAAUUCCUCUCUGUGGCAGGACUUUUUAUGGGUAUGCUGAUUCUGAAAUUCAUCUGGAAGAAUAAACAUACAAGAAUAACUAAGAACAUUUUGAAAUAGAAGAAGAAUGAGAGGAGGACCUCCUGUUAUAUAUCAAGACAUACAACAAAGAUACCAAAGAUAU